Molecule: long non-coding RNA, 242 nt
Filed under: Elaeis guineensis (African oil palm)
Lineage: Eukaryota; Viridiplantae; Streptophyta; Magnoliopsida; Arecales; Arecaceae
Description: long non-coding RNA (EGUI_LNC047104)
Source: RNAcentral
GAUCGAUGUUAUAAAUUUCGAAUAAGAACUAGAUCGAGAUCCAAUCUACUGCAUGAAUUUUGAAACAAUCUCACGUCAUCUUAUUUUUAUCUCAAGUUUAUCCUAGGAUCUGUGAUGCAAUCAGAGAGAGAAAGAGAGAGAGUAAAAAGAUUCUAGAGAGAUAAAAUCUAUAAAGAGAGAGAAAAAGUUUAAAGAGAGAAAAUAGAGAGAAAAAUUGGAGAGAGAAAGUAGAGAGAGGAGAG